This 1214-nucleotide long non-coding RNA is filed under the name Vigna radiata. Its description in RNAcentral is "long non-coding RNA (VRAD_LNC017529)". Lineage: Eukaryota; Viridiplantae; Streptophyta; Magnoliopsida; Fabales; Fabaceae. The record is from RNAcentral.
UUUCAACUUUAUUGAUGUGUAAAAAUAAAAUUAAAAUGUUAUUAUUGAUGUAUACUAUGCUGUGAGAAAGAGAGGUUAAAAAAAAUUGUGGUUAGGACUAGAAGAAAAAUCGCGAUUUGGAAUUAAACUUCCUGGUGCAAGCUUCGUAAAUUAGGGUGUCAAGGUGAAGAACAAACAGCGUAUACGAUCUGGACAUCAUCUUUGCGCCUUCCCCAUUGCCGGGAAAUUCCAGAGGCCAAAUCUAAAAGAUUUGUAUACGAUAUGGACAUCAUUUUUGCGCCUCCCAAUAUAAUACCCAAUCCUACAAAACUCCUUCACUCUGCAAAAUCAAAGAAAACAACAGCAAACAAAAACCCAUUAAUCAUUGAAGGCACAAGAACAACCUAACACAUAGCCUUCAAACCCAAACACACACAUUUUCAUACAUCAACAUGUGAGAACUGGAUUCAUUAAGUGAUAAAUAACGAAACACAUAUUCCAAUCUUAGAUACUAUGCAAAAGCCCCAAAUUCUUGACCGCCAAAAUAGGUUACAUCACAUUGAGCACAAGAACAAACACCCUUUACAAGGGUUUCAAAAAAAUUGGGAUUAGGUUUUAAAAAAUCCCCUUCCUCACCAAAAAUUAGGGUUUCAAGUUGGGGAAGGGGCUCUUUGUCGUUCAACAUCGUCUUGCACGCGGGAAAGGAGGCGCGACCUGCUUGUUGUCUUUCUGAUGCAGGUUGAAUUGCGAUGGCUUCUCCAAGGCGCGACAAGGUGGCAUGGUGGAAGGGAGAAGACGAGAUACAAUGCAAAGAUGGUGGAGUCGCGAUUUGGGGUUCUGUUCUUUUGCAGGUGCGUUAAUGGUGGAGGAUGAAGGAAUCCCGACUGGGAUUUCGCAGUGGUAACGACACUUUUUGUUUCUGAUUUUGGUUGUAGGUGGUGGAGAAGCUACGAGAUGGUGGUGAUGGUUGAAGAUCGAUUCACCGCUGUUGAUGGCGCGACGACGCUUUGGGUAGUGAAGCGAUGAGGUUCUCGCCUUCUGCGUUUCUGCAGGUUGCGCUCUGCUGAUGGCGCGACGACGUUAGGUGGCAUGACUCCUGAUGGCGGCAGCACGACGAGUCGCAAUGUGGUUGCCGGCGUCUAGGUGGUUGCUGAGGGUCGCUGGGUGGCUGCCAUGAAGGUGGUGCAAUGAAGAAUUUUUUAUAACCUAACCUCAUUUUUUUUAACCUAAUCCCA